AAUGAACGCUGGCGGCAUGCCUAAUACAUGCAAGUCGAGCGGACGGACGAGAAGCGUUCUUCUCUGAUGUUAGCGACGGGCGGGUGAGUACACGUGAAUUACCUACCUAUAAGACUGGGCGAACUUAGGGAGACCGUAGUAAAUACCGGAUACUAUUUUGAACCGCGUGGGUCCAAAGGGAAAGACGGUCUUGCUGUCACGUAUAGAUGGAUCCGCGCUGCGUUAGCUAGUUGGUAAGGUAACGGCUUACCAAGGCAACGAUGCAUAGCCGAACUGAGAGGGUGAUCGGCCCCACUGGAACUGAGACACGGUCCAGACUCCUACGGGAGGCAGCAGUAGGGAAUUUUCCGCAAUGGGCGAAAGCCUGACGGAGCAACGCCGCGUGAGUGAUGAAGGUCUUCGGAUUGUAAAACUCUUUUAUUAGGGAAGAACAUAUGUGUAAUUAACUCUGCACAUUUUGACGGUACCUAAACAGAAAGCCACGGCUAACUUCGUG
Molecule: ribosomal RNA, 496 nt
Filed under: uncultured bacterium
Lineage: Bacteria
Description: partial 16S ribosomal RNA
Rfam family: Bacterial small subunit ribosomal RNA
Source: RNAcentral